This 80-nucleotide non-coding RNA is filed under the name Pseudomonas putida DOT-T1E. RNAcentral's name for it is "Proteo-phage-1 RNA". It matches the Rfam family "Proteo-phage-1 RNA". The record is from Rfam by way of RNAcentral. Lineage: Bacteria; Pseudomonadati; Pseudomonadota; Gammaproteobacteria; Pseudomonadales; Pseudomonadaceae.
CCACUGCCAGUGUGGCCCGAAAGGGAUAACUGGACGCGGAUAAGCCGGUAGUGCCGCGAUGCAGGAAAACACCGGCAGCC